RNAcentral lists this ribosomal RNA (376 nucleotides) under uncultured bacterium. Its description in RNAcentral is "bacterial SSU rRNA". It matches the Rfam family "Bacterial small subunit ribosomal RNA", at positions 521 to 896 of the family's 1533-position model. The record is from RNAcentral.
UAAUACAGAGGGUGCGAGCGUUAAUCGGAAUUACUGGGCGUAAAGCGCGCGUAGGCGGUUUUGUAAGUCGGGUGUGAAAUCCCCAAGCUUAACUUGGGAACUGCAUUCGAGACUGCAUAGCUAGAGUAUGGGAGAGAGAAGUGGAAUUUCCGGUGUAGCGGUGAAAUGCGUAGAUAUCGGAAGGAACAUCAGUGGCGAAAGCGACUUCUUGGACCAAUACUGACGCUCAAGUGCGAAAGCGUGGGGAGCAAACAGGAUUAGAUACCCUGGUAGUCCACGCCAUAAACGAUGAGAACUGGAUGUCGGGAGGGUCUGCCUCUCGGUGUCGUAGCUAACGCGAUAAGUUCUCCGCCUGGGGAGUACGGCCGCAAGGUUG